This 498-nucleotide ribosomal RNA is filed under the name Escherichia coli. RNAcentral describes it as "partial 23S ribosomal RNA". It matches the Rfam family "Bacterial large subunit ribosomal RNA", at positions 1216 to 1715 of the family's 2925-position model. Lineage: Bacteria; Pseudomonadati; Pseudomonadota; Gammaproteobacteria; Enterobacterales; Enterobacteriaceae. The record is from RNAcentral.
AUGCGUUGUUGGGUAGGGGAGCGUUCUGUAAGCCUGCGAAGGUGUGCUGUGAGGCAUGCUGGAGGUAUCAGAAGUGCGAAUGCUGACAUAAGUAACGAUAAAGCGGGUGAAAAGCCCGCUCGCCGGAAGACCAAGGGUUCCUGUCCAACGUUAAUCGGGGCAGGGUGAGUCGACCCCUAAGGCGAGGCCGAAAGGCGUAGUCGAUGGGAAACAGGUUAAUAUUCCUGUACUUGGUGUUACUGCGAAGGGGGGACGGAGAAGGCUAUGUUGGCCGGGCGACGGUUGUCCCGGUUUAAGCGUGUAGGCUGGUUUUCCAGGCAAAUCCGGAAAAUCAAGGCUGAGGCGUGAUGACGAGGCACUACGGUGCUGAAGCAACAAAUGCCCUGCUUCCAGGAAAAGCCUCUAAGCAUCAGGUAACAUCAAAUCGUACCCCAAACCGACACAGGUGGUCAGGUAGAGAAUACCAAGGCGCUUGAGAGAACUCGGGUGAAGGAACUA